Molecule: long non-coding RNA, 375 nt
Filed under: Ananas comosus (pineapple)
Lineage: Eukaryota; Viridiplantae; Streptophyta; Magnoliopsida; Poales; Bromeliaceae
Description: long non-coding RNA (ACOM_LNC021739)
Source: RNAcentral
UAUCUUUUAAUGCGGAUAUUAUGGUGUGCUAUUUGGUGUGACAAUUACAGUCUAUAUCAUUAGUUAAAUAGGUCUGAACAGAAAAAUUAUCUUAUCAGUAGAAACGACAAGACUACGUACAGCUUAUCCUCUCGAACAUAAAAACGUCUGCUGUAUCUCACAUAUUUUGUACGUGUUCCAGUUAAAGCAUGCCAUGAGUAGGAUUGGGCUAUUAUUGAUAGUAAACUGCUUGAUUUAUUACUAAUUUAUUUUUAAAAACAGAACUUUUAAAUUAAUGAUCAACACUGUUUAACAUAAUUUAAUUAUUUAAACUAUUUAAAAAAUUAAAAUUUAUGUUUUUCGAUAUUAUUAAUUGAAUUGGUAUGUACGUAUUUG